This 253-nucleotide ribosomal RNA is filed under the name uncultured bacterium. Its description in RNAcentral is "partial 16S ribosomal RNA". It matches the Rfam family "Bacterial small subunit ribosomal RNA", at positions 524 to 776 of the family's 1533-position model. The record is from RNAcentral.
UACGAAGGGGGCUAGCGUUGCUCGGAAUCACUGGGCGUAAAGGGUGCGUAGGCGGGUCUUUAAGUUAGGGGUGAAAUCCUGGAGCUCAACUCCAGAACUGCCUUUGAUACUGAAGAUCUUGAGUUCGGGAGAGGUGAGUGGAACUGCGAGUGUAGAGGUGAAAUUCGUAGAUAUUCGCAAGAACACCAGUGGCGAAGGCGGCUCACUGGCCCGAUACUGACGCUGAGGCACGAAAUCGUGGGGAGCAAACAGG